GAUGAACGCUGGCGGCGUGCCUAAUACAUGCAAGUCGAGCGGACUUUUCGGGAGCUUGCUUCCGGAAAGUCAGCGGCGAACGGGUGAGUAACACGUGGGUAACCUGCCUGCAAGACCGGGAUAACUUCGGGAAACAAGAGCUAAUACCGGAUGAUCUCCUUUUCCGCAUGGAGAAGGACUGAAAGGACGGCGCAAGCUGUCGCUUGCAGAUGGGCCCGCGGCGCAUUAGCUAGUUGGUGAGGUAACGGCUCACCAAGGCGACGAUGCGUAGCCGACCUGAGAGGGUGAUCGGCCACACUGGGACUGAGACACGGCCCAGACUCCUACGGGAGGCAGCAGUAGGGAAUCUUCCGCAAUGGACGAAAGUCUGACGGAGCAACGCCGCGUGAGCGAUGAAGGCCUUCGGGUCGUAAAGCUCUGUUGUCAGGGAAGAACAAGUGCGGGAGUAACUGCCCGCACCUUGACAGUACCUGACCAGAAAGCCACGGCUAACUACGUGCCAGCAGCCGCGGUAAUACGUAGGUGGCAAGCGUUGUCCGGAAUUAUUGGGCGUAAAGCGCGCGCA
Molecule: ribosomal RNA, 565 nt
Filed under: uncultured bacterium
Lineage: Bacteria
Description: bacterial SSU rRNA
Rfam family: Bacterial small subunit ribosomal RNA
Source: RNAcentral